This 537-nucleotide ribosomal RNA is filed under the name uncultured bacterium. RNAcentral describes it as "bacterial SSU rRNA". It matches the Rfam family "Bacterial small subunit ribosomal RNA", at positions 355 to 895 of the family's 1533-position model. The record is from RNAcentral.
UGAGGAAUAUUGGUCAAUGGACGGAAGUCUGAACCAGCCAAGUAGCGUGCAGGAUGACGGCCCUAUGGGCUGUAAACUGCUUUUGUAUGGGGAUAAAGUUAGGGACGUGUCCCUAUUUGCAGGUACCAUACGAAUAAGGACCGGCUAAUUCCGUGCCAGCAGCCGCGGUAAUACGGAAGGUCCAGGCGUUAUCCGGAUUUAUUGGGUUUAAAGGGAGCGUAGGCUGGAGAUUAAGUGUGUUGUGAAAUGUAGACGCUCAACGUCUGAAUUGCAGCGCAUACUGGUUUCCUUGAGUACGCNNAAGUGGGGGAAAUUCCUCGUGUAGCGGUGAAAUGCUUAUAUAUGACAAAAAACUCCGAUUGCGAAGGCAGCUGACGGGAGCGCAACUGACGCUUAAGCUCGAAGGUGCGGGUAUCAAACAGGAUUAGAUACCCUGGUAGUCCGCACAGUAAACGAUGGAUGCCCGCUGUUGGUACCUGGUAUCAGCGGCUAAGCGAAAGCAUUAAGCAUCCCACCUGGGGAGUACGCCGGNNCGGU